GGGCUCGUGGUCUAGCUGGUCAUGACGUCGCCUUGACAUGGCGGAGGUCCGGAGUUCGAAUCUCCGCGGGCCCA
RNAcentral lists this transfer RNA (74 nucleotides) under Candidatus Methanomarinus sp. HR1. Its description in RNAcentral is "ANME-2 cluster archaeon HR1 tRNA-Val". It matches the Rfam family "tRNA". Rfam says of the family: Transfer RNA (tRNA) molecules are approximately 80 nucleotides in length. Lineage: Archaea; Methanobacteriati; Methanobacteriota; Methanomicrobia; Methanosarcinales; Candidatus Methanocomedenaceae. RNAcentral also lists the same sequence under 3 other names. The record is from RNAcentral.